RNAcentral lists this ribosomal RNA (460 nucleotides) under uncultured bacterium. RNAcentral describes it as "partial 16S ribosomal RNA". It matches the Rfam family "Bacterial small subunit ribosomal RNA", at positions 338 to 795 of the family's 1533-position model. The record is from RNAcentral.
CCUACGGGGGACAGCAGUGAGGAAUAUUGGUCAAUGGGCGCGAGCCUGAACCAGCCAAGUAGCGUGAAGGAUGACUGCCCUACGGGUUGUAAACUUCUUUUAUCAAGGAAUAAAGUGAGGCCCGUGUGCCUUUUUGUAUGUACUUUAUGAAUAAGAAUCGGCUAACUCCGUGCCAGCAGCCGCGGUAAUACGGAGGAUCCGAGCUUUUUCCGGAUUUAUUGGGUUUAAAGGGAGCGUAGAUGGGUUGUUAAGUCAGUUGUGAAUGUUUGCGGCUCAACCGUAAAAUUGCAAUUGAUACUGGCAGGCUUGAGUGCAGAUGAGGUAGGCGGAAUGCGUGGUGUAGCGGUGAAAUGCUUAGAUAUCACGAAGAACUCCGAUUGCGAAGGCAGCUUACGAAACUGCCACUGACAUUGAUGCUCGAAAGUGUGGGUAUCAAACAGGAUUAGAUACCCGGGUAGUC